GUUAAAUGUUCUGCCAAAUCAGGUCCAUAUCAGCAAAAUGAAGACGUCUUUGAGCCCCCAAAACCAGGAGCACGCCUUUCACAGUUUCACUUUCCUUUCCUUAGACAACCCACCCAAAUUGCAGAAUUCGGAAACAAGGUUGAAGAAGAAAUCGGAAGCGAAAUAGAAACCCUAAAUCCCCAAAAUUGUGGUUCGACAGUCGAUACCCAUAGCCCGGUCCUUCCCGUCGUUGUUCUCUCGUCAAACAGCCCAAAUGAAGCGUAAAGAACCAACAGCCUUCCAUUUCUGCAAUUCGAGCAAAUGGACGGACAACAUGAAGCUAAAAUGUCGAACUUUUUGUGGUUUUUCAUGGGUACGAAGAGUCCAUUCUCGUGGUAAAGAUUAAUGGAUAAAUUUCAUUUCAUUUCUAGUUUGAAUAAUUUGGCAAGGUUAUUGGAUUUGGAUGAUGCAGUUUUCUUCUCCUUUUUUAACGAUAAUGCACAUCUUUCACAAUUUUUCCCAUAUGUCUGUAUAUGUGUACGGUGCACUGAGUGGGUGCAACAUAAAGUUUAAGGCAAAUGAGGGAAGAAGAGUGCAAGGGAUUUAUAAACUGGGCUGCAAAUGGUGGACAUGGGUUUCGAGGGCAGGAAAACGACGAAGUGCGAAUCAUAGUACCUCUAUAGGAACACAUGUUUGCUAAUGUGUUUCCCUUUUUGACGAAAGCUGCUAUGGGAGUUGGAUCAUUUUGUUGCAGUGAAGCAGCCAUAUUUCAAACAAGAUUUAGAAGAACCCAAAUGUAUAAAGUAGACAGAACAAUGGUUUUCCUUGGAACAGCAAUUGAAUUAUGGUUCUUUCAAAUGUAAAUGAUUUUGCAGUGUAAAUUGAGAACCUAUUAUGUAUGGUUGGUUGGGUAUAUAUUAGCAGAAAUUGUGUUUGUAAUCCUUUGUGUUUAAUGUGGUGUUUGUCCUUUUUUCCACUGCAAAGGUGGCAGUAAUGUGCUCUUGUAUAGAAAACACGGUUCUGCAUUUACUCAUGUCACUUUCAUGCUAAUUUUUUAAGCCAUCGGAUUCGGGGUUAGUG
Molecule: long non-coding RNA, 1059 nt
Filed under: Olea europaea subsp. europaea
Lineage: Eukaryota; Viridiplantae; Streptophyta; Magnoliopsida; Lamiales; Oleaceae
Source: RNAcentral